RNAcentral lists this ribosomal RNA (497 nucleotides) under uncultured bacterium. RNAcentral's name for it is "partial 16S ribosomal RNA". It matches the Rfam family "Bacterial small subunit ribosomal RNA", at positions 28 to 507 of the family's 1533-position model. The record is from RNAcentral.
GACGAACGCUGGCGGCGUGCCUAAUACAUGCAAGUUGAGCGCUGAAGGUUGGUACUUGUGCCCACUGGCUGAGCAGCGAACGGGUGAGUAACGCGUGGGGAAUCUGCCUUUGAGCGGGGGACAACAUUUGGAAACGAAUGCUAAUACCGCAUAAAAACUUUAAACACAAGUUUUAAGUUUGAAAGAUGCAAUUGCAUCACUCAAAGAUGAUCCCGCGUUGUAUUAGCUAGUUGGUGAGGUAAAGGCUCACCAAGGCGAUGAUACAUAGCCGACCUGAGAGGGUGAUCGGCCACAUUGGGACUGGGACACGGCCCAAACUCCUACGGGAGGCAGCAGUAGGGAAUCUUCGGCAAUGGACGAAAGUCUGACCGAGCACCGCCGCGUGAGUGAAGAAGGUUUUCGGAUCGUAAAACUCUGUUGGUAGAGAAGAACGUUGGUGAGAGUGGAAAGCUCAUCAAGUGACGGUAACUACACAGAAAGGGACGGCUAACUACGUG